AAAGGGUGCGUAGGCGGGUAGGUAAGUCAGUGGUGAAAUCCUGGAGCUCAACUCCAGAACUGCCAUUGAUACUAUCUAUCUUGAAUAUUGUGGAGGUAAGCGGAAUAUGUCAUGUAGCGGUGAAAUGCUUAGAUAUGACAUAGAACACCGAUUGCGAAGGCAGCUUGCUAAACAAUUAUUGACGCUGAGGCACGAAAGCGUGGGGAUCAAACAGGAUUAGAUACCCUAGU
Molecule: ribosomal RNA, 230 nt
Filed under: uncultured bacterium
Lineage: Bacteria
Description: partial 16S ribosomal RNA
Rfam family: Bacterial small subunit ribosomal RNA
Source: RNAcentral